UCUGGUUGAUCCUGCCUGAACUGAUGUGUUCAUUUCAAAGAUUAAGCCAUGCAUGUAUAAGUUUAAUCGUUUUAACGAGAAACCGCGAACGGCUCAUUACAAUGGCCAUGAUUUACUUGAUCUUGAUUAUCUAAAUGGAUAACUGUGGAAAAGCUAGAGCUAAUACAUGCACCAAAGCUUUGUCCUCUCGGAAAAGCGCAUUUAUUAGAACAAAACCACGCGGCUUCGGCUGCUUCUUGUUGACUCAGAAUAACUAAGCUGACCGCAUGGCCUUGUGCCGGCGGCGUGUCUUUCAAGCGUCCACUUUAUCAACUUGACGGGAGCAUAAUCGACUCCCGUGGUGGUGACGGAUAACGGAGGAUCAGGGUUCGACUCCGGAGAAGGGGCCUGAGAAAUGGCCACUACGUCUAAGGAUGGCAGCAGGCGCGCAAAUUACCCACUCUCGGCUCGAGGAGGUAGUGACGAGAAAUAACGAGAUCGUUCUCUUUGAGGCCGGUCAUCGGAAUGGGUACAAUUUAAACCCUUUAACGAGUAUCAAGCAGAGGGCAAGUCUGGUGCCAGCAGCCGCGGUAAUUCCAGCUCUGCUAAUACAUAGAAUUAUUGCUGCGGUUAAAAAGCUCGUAGUUGGAUUCGUAUCGGUACCCUGGAACCCUCUGGGUGUUUCUGGGUGUUAUCGAUUUAUCGUAAUGUUCGGUUUUGAGUCCUUAACAGGAUUCUUAACAGGCAUUGCAAGUUUACUUUGAACAAAUCAGAGUGCUUCAAACAGGCGUUUUCGCUUGAAUGAUCGUGCAUGGAAUAAUAGAAAACGAUUUCGGUUCAGUUUUAUUGGUUUUACGGACUGAGAUAAUGGUUAACAGAGACAAACGGGGGCAUUUGUAUGGCCCCGUGAGAGGUGAAAUUCUUGGACCGUGGCCAGACAAACUACAGCGAAAGCAUUUGCCAAGAAUGUCUUCAUUAAUCAAGAACGAAAGUCAGAGGUUCGAAGGCGAUCAGAUACCGCCCUAGUUCUGACCGUAAACGAUGCCAACUAGCGAUCCGCCGAUGGAAAUUAUAUUGCCUUGGUGGGGAGCUUCCCGGAAACGAAAGUCUUCCGGUUCCGGGGAAGUAUGGUUGCAAAGCUGAAACUUAAAGGAAUUGACGGAAGGGCACCACCAGGAGUGGAGCCUGCGGCUUAAUUUGACUCAACACGGGGAAACUCACCCGGCCCGGACACUGUGAGGAUUGACAGAUUGAUAGCUUUUUCAUGAUUCAGUGGAUGGUGGUGCAUGGCCGUUCUUAGUUCGUGGAGUGAUUUGUCUGGUUUAUUCCGAUAACGAGCGAGACUCUAACCUACUAAAUAGCUGGUACAUACUCUUAGUGUAUACAGCUUCUUAGAGGGAUUUGCGGUGUUCAGCCGAAAGAAAUUGAGCAAUAACAGGUCUGUGAUGCCCUUAGAUGUCCGGGGCUGCACGCGCGCUACACUGGCAAAAUCAACGUGCUUGUCCUACCCGAAGGGGGCGGGUAAACCAUUGAAAAUUUGCCGUGAUUGGGAUCGGAAAUUGCAAUUAUUUUCCGUGAACGAGGAAUUCCAAGUAAGUGCGAGUCAUCAGCUCGCGUUGAUUACGUCCCUGCCCUUUGUACACACCGCCCGUCGCUGCCCGGGACUGAGCCAUUUCGAGAAAUUUGGGGACCGUUGAUUUAAUUUUUCUAAAUUACUUUGAUGGAAACCAAUUUAAUCGCAGUGGCUUGAACCGGGCAAAAGUCGUAACAAGGUAGCUGUAGGUGAACCUGCUGCUG
This 1776-nucleotide ribosomal RNA is filed under the name Meloidogyne arenaria. Its description in RNAcentral is "SSU rRNA". It matches the Rfam family "Eukaryotic small subunit ribosomal RNA". Lineage: Eukaryota; Metazoa; Nematoda; Chromadorea; Rhabditida; Meloidogynidae. The record is from RNAcentral.